Molecule: unclassified non-coding RNA, 673 nt
Filed under: Leishmania donovani
Lineage: Eukaryota; Euglenozoa; Kinetoplastea; Trypanosomatida; Trypanosomatidae
Description: gene:unknown
Source: RNAcentral
AUUUUGUGCUCGUUGACUUCUCCCUCUUUCCUCUCGCUUCCGAUGGCGGCGCACGUGCGUCCUCCACCACUCCUGUCUUCUCCUCUCCGCCCUUCUCUGCAUCCGCACCACCUUCCAGAUGAGGGCUGCCUCAUUGAAAUCGGAGGGAAGACAAGGCCAUGUGCGUGGAUCAGUGACACACACACACACACGUAUGCGUCGCCUUGGGGAGCGUGGUAUUAUCAUUAGAAAAAUGGUGCGUAUAAUCGCGGGUUGCGAAGGUGGAAUCAAGCAACAGGGCAACAGCAACAAUGCGGAUUGUCGUGAUGAUGCUUGGCCGUUCUUCCACGGUCAUCAUCAUCACCGCCGCCUCCUCUCCUCCCCUCCUUUCGUCAUCUGGACAGCUAGACAGGCACGGACACACAUUAGCGCGCGUGUGCGAGUCUUUCUUGAAGGAAUGGCGUUGCACACAAGCCGUAAUGUGCGCCCAACUCUGGUUUUGUGUGUGGGGGUGGGUGGGUGAGGGCAAAGAAGCCAUCGCUACACCCACACCGACACACACACACACACACACACACACACACAGAUUCGAGCCGGUACAUGUGUGGUUGUGUUGGUGGUCGUCGUGAGAGCGCACCGAUGCGCUCGCCCAGCUCUUCCUCCCCCCGCAUUCCCCCCUUCGUGGAGCUCUAAC